This 20-nucleotide non-coding RNA is filed under the name Rattus norvegicus (Norway rat). The record is from RNAcentral. Lineage: Eukaryota; Metazoa; Chordata; Mammalia; Rodentia; Muridae.
CUUUCCUAGCUUUUGGUGGC